ACUCAAAGGAAUUGACGGGGGCCCGCACAAGCGGUGGAGCAUGUGGUUUAAUUCGAUGCUACGCGAAAAACCUUACCUAGGCUUGACAUCCCACGCUACCCGGUGAAAGUCGGGGUCCUCUUCGGAGGCGUGGAGACAGGUGCUGCAUGGCUGUCGUCAGCUCGUGUUGUGAGAUGUUGGGUUAAGUCCCGCAACGAGCGCAACCCUCGCCACUAGUUACCAGCAUUAAGUUGGGCACUCUAGUGGGACCGCUGAGCUAUAAGCCAGAGGAAGGUGGGGAUGACGUCAAGUCCUCAUGGCCUUUAUGUCUAGGGCAACACACGUGCUACAAUGGGGAGCACAAUGCGCAGCAAGCGCGCGAGCGCAAGCUAAUCGCAAAAAACUUCCCUCAGUUCGGAUUGAAGUCUGCAACUCGACUUCAUGAAGCUGGAAUCGCUAGUAAUCGUCGAUCAGCACGCGACGGUGAAUACGUUCCCGGGCCUUGUACACACCGCCCGU
This 498-nucleotide ribosomal RNA is filed under the name uncultured bacterium. RNAcentral's name for it is "partial 16S ribosomal RNA". It matches the Rfam family "Bacterial small subunit ribosomal RNA", at positions 899 to 1397 of the family's 1533-position model. The record is from RNAcentral.